AUGACCCCACUCCCAACAUUAACGUGCCUCCAAGAACUCCCACAAGAACUUCGUAAAGGGCAGAAGAAGAGGGCCGAGCUGCAGCUCUGCAACAGGGAGAGGAGGUCCAACGCGGACGAGGAGGAACCGGGACCGCCGCACAUUAAAGAGGAAGAGGAGGAACUGUGCACCAGCCAGGAUGCAGAGCAGUUUGUGGUGAAGCAGGAGAAUGGGUCGCUUUUGCUUCUUCAGUUCAAACCCAAAUCUGAAGAACUAUUUGAGGUUUCAGAAGGCAGCCUGGUCCCGUCUGAGGAGGAGAUGGACGGUCAGUACAGAGCGCUGGACGCUGCCUGGAGGCCGCGAGGAAAGCUGCGUAGAAUCGAGGAAACCGAGCCGGACACGGGGCCCGCUGCGGCGGAUGAGGAAGACUCCGAGGCCUCUUCGGCCUCCCAGCCGGCCCCGGCCCAGGAGAUGAAGAAGAGGAAGAAGGUGGCCACCGCCGCCGAUGGGGACAGACAGUACCCCUGGGGGGAUGGACACCAAGAUACAAUGGCGCGCUUUUGGCUGACACACCCGAUCUUCUACGAUAAAGCCCAACAGCACUACAAAAACAAAGAAAUGAGGAAGCAGCUCAUGCAGGACUUGAUUCAAAAGAACCACAAGGAGUGGGAGAAGAUCCUCACCCCCCUGCCCACCGUGGUCCAAGUGGAUGCACAUUUGCGCAACAUGCGAACCAGAUUUGUGAAGCUGCUAAAGCGUAAAUCUGCUGCCCCCGCGCUGACGUUGUCCUACAAGGAUCAGAAGAUCUGGGAGCGCUACCAGUUCCUGCGUCCGUACAUUCAGCGCAACCGGACAACAGCAACACACUGUAUUCCUGGCGUGCAGUCCAGAGGGGACGCUGCUGAGGAUGACAUUGAUGAAGAUCCCAGUCUUCAAUUGAGUCAGCGGGUCGAAUUGGGCGGUCAGCCCUCCAGCUCUCAGACGCCGCCAAAAGGGAAAGGAAAGGUCAUAAACAGAAGACCUCUCACUUCGCCUACGCCAUCUACUGGUCCAGACAGCGAGGACGUGUCUGAGAUGGAGGUAAAAGCCAUCUUUCCUAAAAGCCAAAACUUUAAAGAUGAUAGCAACCUCAUAGUUCUAGUUCUAUUUUUCUGUUUGUGUCUUGCUUCCUCCUCCUCCUUCUCAUUUUGCACGUAUGUGCAGCAAAUACUGCAGCAGGCCAAGGACCUGAUCUCGAGCAUCAGGGCUCCAUCGCGCAGUGAGCAUGAGAGGAGGGUCAGGGACUUCAGCAGGUAUAUGGAGUCAGAGAUGCUUCUAAUACCAGAGUCCUUAUGGGACGAGUGCAGCUUCUCCAUCAUGAACGUGAUCCGAGGCUUCAAGACGGCUCAGAAGCAGGGACACCUGGCCCUGUCGCAGCAUCAAGCCUACCAGCAGGUGAACCAAUGCACCGUUAUUCUCUCUAUGACGAAAUAUUGCUUUCCUAACUGAUUCUUAAGAUUGUUGAUUAGUUUUCAGUACUAAACAUUAUUUGGAUAAAUCUAAGAUCUAAGCUUGGAUCUUAGGGAAGAAAGUAACCUAGUAAUAAAAAAAUGUAACCCCUUAUUUCCCUUCCACGACAAAAAAACUCCCAAAGUGCAAAAAUCUCUUAAAAGCCACUUAACCCUUGUGCUAUCCUAGGCACUUAAACAUUGGGAGUUGGGUCAUCUAUACUUUUUGGACGAUUUUGGAUGAAAAUGGAAUAAUCAUAAUUAAAAGAACAUUUAAUUAUAGAAGAAAAGAACAUUUUGAGAAUAGUUCAAAGGAUGAUUGGAGUGGGACUUUAAGGCAACUGUUAUUUGGGGUCAAAUCUGCUUCAUUUACCAAAAUAAAACCUCCAUGCUAGCAAAGUUAGCUAAAAACCAAAAUCUUUGGAAAGUGUUUAUGUGUAGAAAAGAGCAAACACGAACACAGAGAGAAAGCAGGAGUCUUUACUCAAAAUAUGGAUUUAUUGGGACAGCUCCACUCCACAUAAUGUGCGGCGACAAACUAAUGUAAUGAAGAUACUGCUAAUAUAGUUUCAACUAGGGUGGAUUCAGGUUUAUUAUUAUAGUUUUUGUGACACCUUGACAGUCAGACGAGGCUGUAUUUAGCAUCAGGUGUUUAGUUAAGGGAAAAUCUAAACCGCAUUUUAAUGGGUCCUACACAAAAUCUAGUGUACAAUUAGAGUUUAAACUGUCUGCAGAUAUUUUACAGAGAGUGAAAAUAAACUUUUUCCUUAAAAGUGAAGGAAAACGGAUGCUAUAAAGAUGGGAUGCCCCCCUUAGCCUCGUCCAUGCAACGGAUACCCAAAUGAUGAGUGGGGACUUUCUCACUGUACAUCUGCUAAAAAGAACUGUAGUAGCUCGAGAGCAAACUUAACGUUCCUAUUUCUAACCCAAUUUUUUACAGAGUUAUGGGAGCCAGCCGUACCAGCAGCCACAGGGGGGGUAUUCCACACAGACUGGCAGCUUGCAGCCUCAUAGUGGUACCUUCCAGAAUCACCAGCAACCGGGCACUUUCCACCAACAGAGUGGGACCUUUCAGUAGCUGCAGCCGCUGCUGGAUCGGACAUGCUGCCCACCGUGGUCAGCAGUUCUGUUUGGACGCCAGCUGGAGCAAACGCUUGUGGACUUUGGCGUUCAUCCCGUGAGGAAGAGGAAGUCUACGGCUGGAAUCGCCAAAUGUGUUGCCAACCCCAACAGCUGCUAAGUGGGCAGAGUUGAGCAGGACUCAGACUUGCUUUGUAAUUUUUUUUACAGCUUAUCUAUUUGUACGCACUGUUUGCACUUAAAAAAUAAAGUGUGCAUUGAAGUGAGGAGCUGACGCCUGGACGGUCUCGUGCUUUUACCUCACCAGGUUUCCCACAAGGACACAGUCUCCUCACCGUUGUAUUA
This is a long non-coding RNA of Oryzias sinensis (Chinese medaka), 2891 nucleotides long. NCBI's taxonomy places the organism in Eukaryota, Metazoa, Chordata, Actinopteri, Beloniformes, Adrianichthyidae. The record is from Ensembl.